This 497-nucleotide ribosomal RNA is filed under the name uncultured bacterium. RNAcentral's name for it is "partial 16S ribosomal RNA". It matches the Rfam family "Bacterial small subunit ribosomal RNA", at positions 28 to 507 of the family's 1533-position model. The record is from RNAcentral.
GAUGAACGCUGGCGGCGUGCCUAAUACAUGCAAGUCGAGCGAACAGACGAGGAGCUUGCUCCUCUGACGUUAGCGGCGGACGGGUGAGUAACACGUGGAUAACCUACCUAUAAGACUGGGAUAACUUCGGGAAACCGGAGCUAAUACCGGAUAAUAUAUUGAACCGCAUGGUUCAAUAGUGAAAGACGGUUUUGCUGUCACUUAUAGAUGGAUCCGCGCCGCUUUAGCUAGUUGGUAAGGUAACGGCUUACCAAGGCAACGAUGCGUAGCCGACCUGAGAGGGGGGUCGGCCACACUGGAACUGAGCCACGGUCCAGACUCCUGCGGGAGGCAGCAGUAGGGAAUCUGCCGCAAUGGGCGAAAGCCUGACGGAGCAACGCCGCGUGAGUGAUGAAGGUCUUCGGAUCGUAAAACUCUGUUAUGAGGGAAGAACAAAUGUGUAAGUAACUAUGCACGUCUUGACGGUACCGAGUCAGAAAGCCACGGCUAACUACGUG